Molecule: long non-coding RNA, 762 nt
Organism: Cebus imitator (Panamanian white-faced capuchin)
Lineage: Eukaryota; Metazoa; Chordata; Mammalia; Primates; Cebidae
Exons: 2
Source: RefSeq, a predicted model, not a curated record
AGAUCUUUAUGCAAGAAGAAAUGAGAAGAUGAACAGUUAGAGGCCAGGAUUACCUACCACAGCUCAAGUUUCCUCUCCACACCUCUGCCCCUGUGCAAGUUGACCUCUGAGUAUGCAGCUGGUAAGAGAUGGAAACCCUUGUUCAUAAGCUUUGUGGUGCUGUUGGCAGGAUGAAGGGAUUCUGGAUCCUCACGGGUCACUGUGGCAGAGCAGCUGGUGUUAUCUGCUCCCUAGACAGGAACCCACUGAAGAAUUUGACAUUCUUUGAUAUGCUGGCAUUCAUUGCUACAGCUCAUCAUCCCAGCCAUCAAUCCAGGCCAUCGGUCCUUGCCCAUGGUGGGAAGGUGGAGGAGGAAGCUGGCUUUGUUCUGACCUCGGGCUUCUGCUAUUCCACCAGUACUUUCUGUGGAGGAAAUGGGGAGAGAAAUGGCUGCUCAGAUGAGAAGAUGUGUCAGUAAACUUUUGCUACAGCGAUGCUGCAAAACAAACCACCAGUGACAUUCAGUGGCACAUAGCAAUAAACGUUUAUUUAGCUCAGGGAUUUUUUUUUUUUAAUGGCCAAAUAGUAAAUAUUUUAGGUAUUUCAGGCCAUACAGUCUCUGAACUCUGGCCUUGUAGCACAAAAGAAGCCUUAGAUGCUAUGCAAAUGGAGGAGUAUGACUGUGUUCCAAUAAAACUUUAUUUAUGGACACUAAAAUUUGUAUUUCAUGGAAUUUUUAUGUGUUAAGAAAUAUUACUCUUUUGAUUUUUUUCAACCACGAA